CCUACGGGAGGCAGCAGUGGGGAAUCUUGCACAAUGGAGGGAACUCUGAUGCAGCGACGUCGCGUGAACGAUGAAGGCUUUCGAGUCGUAAAGUUCUGUCCUAUGGGACGAUAAUGACGGUACCAUAGGAGGAAGCCCCGGCUAACUACGUGCCAGCAGCCGCGGUAAUACGUAGGGGGCAAACGUUGUCCGGAAUUACUGGGCGUAAAGGGUACGCAGGCGGCCAUGUAAGUCAGAUGUGAAAGGCCAAGGCUUAACCUUGGUUAGCAUUUGAAACUGUGUGGCUUGAGUUAAGGAGAGGAAAGUGGAAUUCCUGGUGUAGCGGUGAAAUGCGUAGAUAUCAGGAGGAAUACCAGUGGCGAAGGCGACUUUCUGGACUUAUACUGACGCUGAGGUACGAAAGCGUGGGGAGCAAACAGGCUUAGAUACCCUGGUAGUC
This 439-nucleotide ribosomal RNA is filed under the name uncultured Clostridium sp. RNAcentral describes it as "bacterial SSU rRNA". It matches the Rfam family "Bacterial small subunit ribosomal RNA", at positions 338 to 795 of the family's 1533-position model. The record is from RNAcentral. Lineage: Bacteria; Bacillati; Bacillota; Clostridia; Eubacteriales; Clostridiaceae.